This 253-nucleotide ribosomal RNA is filed under the name uncultured bacterium. Its description in RNAcentral is "partial 16S ribosomal RNA". It matches the Rfam family "Bacterial small subunit ribosomal RNA", at positions 524 to 776 of the family's 1533-position model. The record is from RNAcentral.
UACGGGGGGAGCAAGCGUUGUUCGGAUUUACUGGGCGUAAAGGGCGCGUAGGCGGCGUGACAAGUCACUUGUGAAAUCUCCGGGCUUAACUCGGAACGGUCAAGUGAUACUGUCGUGCUAGAGUACAGAAGGGGCAACUGGAAUUCUCGGUGUAGCGGUGAAAUGCGUAGAUAUCGAGAGGAACACCUGCGGCGAAGGCGGGUUGCUGGGCUACUACUGACGCUGAGGAGCGAAAGCCAGGGGAGCAAACGGG